CAAUAAACAAAGUAAAAAACAUUUUCACUGAUAUCUUUCCCCCAAAGGUUUCUAUAGAUAUCGUGAAUUCUUAAGGCCACAAAAACCAUGAUAUUAAUAAUUUAAUAUCGUGACAGCCCUAGUCUGGUUGUCGCAAACUAACUAUAUUCAUGUUAAAACAAAGUAAUACAGUUUGCGUGCACUUUAUAACAAGGCAUGGUAAGACAGGAAUUUUUUGCACACAGUAUUAAACAUUCAUCUUCAUUCAACUUCCACGUCACAACUCCGAUAUGAAUUAAAACAAAAAAUAAAAUAAACAAUUAUACUAACAGAAAGCAUAUACUUUGUGGUCAAAAUAGGAUUCAUGGCUAGAAAUAUAGGACCUCUGUGCACAUGCUAAUUGUUAAUUCUUUGUUUUGUUGAUCAGGUAAAAUUUACAGUGAAGAUGCCAGGCAUGCCAUAUAUCAGAGUGAUGAGAAGGCAGUGCUCUCUAUGUAAUCUUAUAUUCACGUUAAUCACAGACUACAAAUUACGUUUCAUUUGGUUGUUUUGACUUGUUUACUGAGUCCUUAUUUGGGAAACCACCUCCACUGAAGACUCAUGUUUUCUUUCUUUAAGCCUGGUCAUCUUGACCGUCUCCCCAUAGAGAAUGCACUGACACUCAUGUCCAAUAAGGGCCCCAUUGUUCCUCAGAUCAUUAAACUGCUGGAUUUGUUUUAUUUCGAGGAGCUCUGUGAUGGAAGCCUUGAAGAGAGGACAGCACAAAAUGUAAGGUGGCAGAACACUGAUGCUGCUAACAUUUGCGGGACAUUAAACUGGAGAACCUGCUGGUAAACCAGGACACCAUUGAGGUCAAUUUGACUGACACUGAGUGCAGCCUUUAAAGUUUUCCAUGGUAUGUGUUAUAUACAGAAAUGCAAUCUAUAGAUAGUCAACAUGCAGUAGUGAUGUAUUAAACAUCAGACAACAUUACUUUCCUGCAGGAACAAAAGUGUACGGUCCUUUAGAGUUCAGCAUGAAGGGCAUGUACUAUGCAAGGCCGAUGACAUUGUGGAGACUACGGUUCCUCCUGUGUGAAAUGGUUUGCAAGGAACAGCCUAUGACUGUCACGUGAUCAGUGUGGACCUCUGGACCAGAACUGGACUGUCACAAGUCUUUUUGAACAGAAUACUCCCAGAUGAUUUGUGGUUGUCUACAGCCUAAGCCACAGAAGAGAUCCAUGCUGGAAUGGUAAUACAGAAGCAAAAUAUAAGACUUGCAACAUAGAGGAUAAGCUAAUUGACUUAAUACUGACAUCAAGUAUUGUUUUACAUUUAAAUGAGCCUCAUCAUUCUAUGUCAGUACAGCAGCUCAAGUUCACAUUUGAAAUCAACACAACUGUCCCUGAAGCCUUGAAGCCUGAUCAAAUGUGUAACAAGCUCUACCAGGGCAUCUACCGCUCUGUGAGGAAGACACGCAGUGGUCGGGAGCAUCCCUAACGGCUUCAGCUGGGACUGAAGAUCAAGCAGCGCCUGUGGCUGAUGUUCAUCAAAAAAAAAAAGCGCUAUACAAAUAAAUAAUAAUAAUCUUGAAUCUGCCCAUCACUGGUGGAGACAGAGCAGCCUGACGGACGCGUCCUGAUCACGGAGAGCUUCUCCACAACCUGCAGAAGGUUCGCUCCUCAAAUACAUGUGGACAUCUGUUCCUGAGGAAUCCAGAAGAAAGAAGCCCAGACACGGAGUCACCACGGUCACAUGGAGCAUCACACAGUGGGACCUACAUUUGAAAAUAAUGUAUAAAUUGUACAUAGUUAUAGAGUAAGUUUAUAGUUUGUUAAAACAUUAUGAAGGUGUCAGUUUUGAGCAGCCCGUGAUGAGGAGAUAAAUCAUACGCUAAAAGAGCUGAGAGUGUUAAAUAUUAGCCUUCCACUGAUUAUUCAGUAUAUGUUGAAUUUCACAAUUGAUGGUAUAUACUGAAUUGUUCUCCCUAAAGAGAUUUGUAUUUAUUUUUUUCUGGUCGAAUCACACAGAGCGCGUUGCUUCGGUUUAUUCACAAACACAAACUCGCUGCAUUGUUAAAAUGCUUAACUUUGGUCCAG
Carassius auratus (goldfish) is the source of this 2056-nucleotide long non-coding RNA. RefSeq lists it as uncharacterized. NCBI's taxonomy places the organism in Eukaryota, Metazoa, Chordata, Actinopteri, Cypriniformes, Cyprinidae. The transcript is spliced from 2 exons. The record is from RefSeq and is a predicted model, not a curated record.